This 1216-nucleotide long non-coding RNA is filed under the name Bos indicus x Bos taurus (hybrid cattle). RNAcentral describes it as "lncRNA (ENSBIXG00005011446.1)". The record is from RNAcentral. Lineage: Eukaryota; Metazoa; Chordata; Mammalia; Artiodactyla; Bovidae.
AUGCGUAGCCGUCAAAACAGGUCCUCAGGAAACGGCAUGCUGGCCUCUGGGCGCAGAACCUCCACCCUUGUUUGGCUGGUGUCUUGUUGCAGCUGGUGGAUGACUUGUAGUUUUAUGUGCAGAAAAGCUCCUGUUGGGCUCCAGCCAGGCGAGUCACCACUCAAAGAGGGGGUCCAGCCGGGCCAUCAGACUCUUCAGGUGUCGCCCUGUCUGGGCCAGCUGUUGUGUCAGUUGGACCAGCUGUUGAACAGUCUGAGAUGGGAGACAGCUCAGCGAGUGGACAAGGCCUGUGUCUUGGGGAAGGUGGCUGAUGCGGCUGAGGACACGGCUGUUUCACCGGCAGAGCCAGGAUGCAAUCCCUGUCUGCCUGAUUCAAAAGAACUGCUCUUAUUUUUUACCCAGAGAAAAAGAGAGGUGACUCCUGCUUUAUAGUUGUGAGAAUCCCAUGAGAAAAUCAACACAAAGUGUCCAGCAGAACUCUCUACGCACAGUCGACAUGUUCACUCCCAGAAACUCUUCAUUGCCUUCUCUCUGUAAUCAGAAGUGACCAGUCACUGCUAAACCAUGACACUGAGAACACGGCUGGUCCCAGCCCCGCGCCUGGGCGUCACUCCACUCUCACAUGGCGCCCAGUUUCUGCUUGGUGUUCUAAGAUGGGCUUCUUGGGGUAGUGUUCCUCCUCUGGCUCCUCUCCCAUAUGGUGGUUUAAUUGCUAAGUUGUGUCCGACUUUUGCAACCCCAUGGACUGUAGCCCACCAAUCUCCUCUGUCCGUGGGAUUUUUUCCAGGCAAGAAUACUGGAGUGAAUUGCCAUUUCCUUCUGCAGGGGAUCUUCCCGACCCAGGAAUUGAACCCGUGUCUCCGUUGCAGGCAGAUUCUUUACCGACUGAGCUACCAAACGCACAAUAGCUACAAAAAUGAGAAACAGCAUGACGGUCGUGGUGGGGUUCCAAGACCAUCAUCAAUUCUUAUAAAAAAAAAUCAUUCUCUUUGAAUGUGGUGCUUAUCUGGGUACCAUGCCAAACUCAGUCUAGGACAGACACUGGGAUAAGUUGAGGGUGGGAAGAGCGUCUCCUGACUAACCCACCAGCUAUAGGAAGUUUUUCUAGACCCAAGGGUUCUCAACCUCACUGGAUCCAACUCCCCCCUUUUUUAAUGAAUACUCUAUAUUAUUACCAUGAAAUAAAAAGGUAAACCACUAUAACUUGCCUUUGAUG